GACGAACGCUGGCGGCGUGCUUAACACAUGCAAGUCGAACGGAAAGGCCCCUUUGGGGGUACUCGAGUGGCGAACGGGUGCGUAACACGUGCGUAACCUGCCCUUGACUUCGGGAUAACUUCAGGAAACUGGGGCUAAUACCGGAUAGGAAUCCUUGCUGCAUGGUGGGGGUUGGAAAGCUUCGGCGGUUUUGGAUGGACUCGCGGCUUAUCAGCUUGUUGGUGGGGUAGUGGCUUACCAAGGCUUUGACGGGUAGCCGGCCUGAGAGGGCGACCGGCCACAUUGGGACUGAGAUACGGCCCAGACUCCUACGGGAGGCAGCAGUGGGGAAUAUUGCACAAUGGGCGGAAGCCUGAUGCAGCAACGCCGCGUGCGGGAUGACGGCCUUCGGGUUGUAAACCGCUUUCAGCAGGGGCGAAGCUUGUGGUGACGGUACCUGCAGAAGAAGCACCGGCUAACUACGUG
This 465-nucleotide ribosomal RNA is filed under the name uncultured bacterium. Its description in RNAcentral is "partial 16S ribosomal RNA". It matches the Rfam family "Bacterial small subunit ribosomal RNA", at positions 28 to 507 of the family's 1533-position model. The record is from RNAcentral.